Molecule: non-coding RNA, 127 nt
Organism: Myotis davidii
Lineage: Eukaryota; Metazoa; Chordata; Mammalia; Chiroptera; Vespertilionidae
Source: Rfam
CAUGCACCAGUGGGGUCCCUCAGCCUGGCCUGUGGGGAUCGGGCUGAAACGGACUCUCUGACAUCCCCUGAGGGGUUCUGGAUUGCGAGAGGGCACAGGCCAGGCUGAGGGACCCCAUUGGUGCACA